This 279-nucleotide unclassified non-coding RNA is filed under the name Tremella sp. Its description in RNAcentral is "partial contains 5.8S ribosomal RNA, internal transcribed spacer 2, and large subunit ribosomal RNA". The stretch from base 1 to 52 matches the Rfam family "5.8S ribosomal RNA", at positions 103 to 154 of the family's 154-position model. Lineage: Eukaryota; Fungi; Basidiomycota; Tremellomycetes; Tremellales; Tremellaceae. The record is from RNAcentral. RNAcentral also lists the same sequence under 1 other name.
AACGCACCUUGCGCUCCUUGGUAUUCCGAGGAGCAUGCCUGUUUGAGUGUCAUUAAAUCCUCAACCCCGUCCGUCGGUCGGGGCUUGGACUUUGGAGCGUGCUGGCGAAGGUCGGCUCCUCUUUAAAUGCAUCAGCGGAGAAAAACAAACCUUUUUUCCCCCUUCAGCGUGAUAACUGUGUUGCGCUGUGGUCGCGAAAGGGUCCGCUCAUAAUCGUCCUCGGACAAACACCGAAUCUGUUUUGACCUCAGAUCAGGUAGGACUACCCGCUGAACUUAA